RNAcentral lists this ribosomal RNA (376 nucleotides) under uncultured bacterium. RNAcentral describes it as "bacterial SSU rRNA". It matches the Rfam family "Bacterial small subunit ribosomal RNA", at positions 524 to 898 of the family's 1533-position model. The record is from RNAcentral.
UACAGAGGUCCCAAGCGUUGUUCGGAUUCACUGGGCGUAAAGGGUGCGUAGGCGGUCGGGUAAGUCUGAUGUGAAAUCUUCAAGCUUAACUUGGAAACUGCAUCGGAUACUAUUCGGCUAGAGGAAUGGAGGGGAGACUGGAAUACUUGGUGUAGCAGUGAAAUGCGUAGAUAUCAAGUGGAACACCAGUGGCGAAGGCGAGUCUCUGGACAUUUCCUGACGCUGAGGCACGAAAGCCAGGGGAGCAAACGGGAUUAGAUACCCCGGUAGUCCUGGCCCUAAACGGUGCGCAUUUGCUGUAAGAGGAAUCGACCCCUUUUGUGGCGAAGCUAACGCGAUAAAUGCGCCGCCUGGGAAGUACGGCCGCAAGGUUAAA